Molecule: long non-coding RNA, 240 nt
Filed under: Elaeis guineensis (African oil palm)
Lineage: Eukaryota; Viridiplantae; Streptophyta; Magnoliopsida; Arecales; Arecaceae
Description: long non-coding RNA (EGUI_LNC062685)
Source: RNAcentral
GGGAUUCUCUAGUUUUAAUAAGAUAAAUUUUGAUUUAUUUUAAUCUUUCGCUGCCUGAUCUCGAAAAAUAUUUCAAGAUCUAAUCUUGAAACCCUAAAUCUGGUUCCUUCAGUGCUAUAUGAUCUUUUUCAUGAAGAUGAAUAAUAAAAAAAAUUUAAAACUUUAUUUUAGAUCUAAUUUACUAUAUCUUAGAUCUGAAAUUAGAGUUUAGAUGUUUGUAUGAUAGUUUGUAAAAAUGUU